RNAcentral lists this ribosomal RNA (253 nucleotides) under uncultured bacterium. RNAcentral's name for it is "partial 16S ribosomal RNA". It matches the Rfam family "Bacterial small subunit ribosomal RNA", at positions 524 to 776 of the family's 1533-position model. The record is from RNAcentral.
UACGUAGGUGGCAAGCGUUGUCCGGAUUUACUGGGCGUAAAGGGAGCGUAGGUGGACAUUUAAGUGGGAUGUGAAAUACUCGGGCUUAACCUGAGUGCUGCAUUCCAAACUGAAUAUCUAGAGUGCAGGAGAGGAAAGUAGAAUUCCUAGUGUAGCGGUGAAAUGCGUAGAGAUUAGGAAGAAUACCAGUGGCGAAGGCGACUUUCUGGACUGUAACUGACACUGAGGCUCGAAAGCGUGGGGAGCAAACAGG